RNAcentral lists this ribosomal RNA (626 nucleotides) under Anaerolineae bacterium. RNAcentral describes it as "bacterial LSU rRNA". It matches the Rfam family "Bacterial large subunit ribosomal RNA", at positions 100 to 687 of the family's 2925-position model. The record is from RNAcentral. Lineage: Bacteria; Bacillati; Chloroflexota; Anaerolineae.
UGACCCGGAGAUUUCCGAAUGGGGAAACCCAUUGUGGCGAACCCACAUUAUCCUCUUGUUGAAUAUAUAGACUUGAGGAAGGGAACCUGGGGAACUGAAACAUCUAAGUACCCAGAGGAAAAGAGAUCAUUCCCCUAGUAGUGGCGAGCGAACGGGGAUUAGCCCAAACCAGCCUGGCUUGCCAGGUUGGGGUUGUAGGAUCCAGCACAUGGAAGUUACAAAUCGAUCUGUUAGCAGAAUGGUAUGGGAAAGCCAACCAAAGAGGGUGAUAGUCCCGUAUGCGAAAAUGGAUCGACUUCCGCUGGACACCUGAGUACUGCCGGGCACGCUAAUCCGGUAGGAAGCUGGGGAGUCCACUCUCCAAGGCUAAAUACACUUGACGACCGAUAGUGAACAAGUACCGUGAGGGAAAGGUGAAAAGUCCCCCUGUUAGGGGAGUGAAAUAGAACCUGAAACCGUAAGCUUACAAGCAGUCGGAGGGCUAAUGGCGUGUCGGUGCCCCGGUGAAAGCCGGGCGCGCGGCGCUAUGCCUGACGGCGUGCCUCUUGGAGAAUGAGCCUGCGAGUUAAUCUCAGUGGCGAGGUUAAGGGAGUUACACCCGUAGCCGUAGCGAAAGCGAGUCUGAA